GUAGGGAAUAUUGGGCAAUGGAGGCAACUCUGACCCAGCCAUGCCGCGUGCAGGAAGACGGUCCUCUGGAUUGUAAACUGCUUUUGAAUGGGAAGAAACGUAGCUUUGCGAAGCUAUUUGACGGUACUAUUAGAAUAAGCACCGGCUAACUCCGUGCCAGCAGCCGCGGUAAUACGGAGGGUGCAAGCGUUAUCCGGAUUUAUUGGGUUUAAAGGGUGCGUAGGCGGCUUUAUAAGUCUGGGGUUAAAGGCGGCAGCUUAACUGUACGCAUGCCCUGGAAACUGUGAAGCUUGAGUGACUUGGAGGUAGCUAGAAUUCCCUGUGUAGCGGUGAAAUGCAUAGAUACGGGGAGGAAUACCGAUUGCGAAGGCAUGUUACUACGAGUAAACUGACGCUGAUGCACGAAAGCGUGGGGAUCAAACAGGAUUAGAUACCCGUGUAGUCC
This 445-nucleotide ribosomal RNA is filed under the name uncultured bacterium. RNAcentral's name for it is "bacterial SSU rRNA". It matches the Rfam family "Bacterial small subunit ribosomal RNA", at positions 354 to 796 of the family's 1533-position model. The record is from RNAcentral.